Molecule: long non-coding RNA, 651 nt
Filed under: Homo sapiens (human)
Lineage: Eukaryota; Metazoa; Chordata; Mammalia; Primates; Hominidae
Description: HSALNT0256159
Source: RNAcentral
CUCCCAGGUUCGAGCGAUUCUCCUGCCCCAGCCUCCCCAGUAGCUGGUGCUACAGGCACACGCCAACACGCCGGGCUAAUUUUUGUAUUUUUAUUAGAGACGGGGUUUCAUCAUGUUGGCCAGGCUGGUCUUGAACUCCUGACCUCAGGUGAUCCGCCUGCCUCAGCCUCCCAAAGUGCGGGGACUUGGUCUUGACUUUGAAGCACCAGGGCCCCCCUGAGGGAGUGCGGGAAGAGCUGGAGAAGCCAAGGUCAAGAGUGGAAGGACUUGGGGAGUGGUGGAGCCUGGAGCUGUGUGCCCACUCCAGACCCUGGCUCUAGGGAGCCUGGACCCUGAAGCAGGAUGGAAAACUGAGGCCUCAGAUGGACAGGCACUUGUCCAAGUUCUGAGUCCUGGGACAACUGCAAAGCUCUUAAGGAAGAAGGGAGUCGCUUAAGGAUCUGGAAGGCGGACCGGGUGGUGGCUGCCCACCCUGGUUCCCGAGGUGGAGGUUGGGGAGACCCAGCCGGCCCCGCCCAUACCUUCCCUCCUGGUCCCGCCCACCCACCUUGGCCCCGCCUCGUACCUCCCUCGCUCCCAUUGGCCCAGCCUCCCCAGGCCCGCCCCUUCGCGCUCCCGACAUAUAAAAGCCCCCCGCCCCGGCCUGCCGAC